UGGGGAAUAUUGCACAAUGGGCGAAAGCCUGAUGCAGCGACGCCGCGUGAGGGAUGACGGCCUUCGGGUUGUAAACCUCUUUCAGCAGGGACGAAGCGCAAGUGACGGUACCUGCAGAAGAAGCACCGGCUAACUACGUGCCAGCAGCCGCGGUAAUACGUAGGGUGCAAGCGUUGUCCGGAAUUACUGGGCGUAAAGAGUUCGUAGGCGGUUUGUCGCGUCGUUUGUGAAAACCAGCAGCUCAACUGCUGGCUUGCAGGCGAUACGGGCAGACUUGAGUACUGCAGGGGAGACUGGAAUUCCUGGUGUAGCAGUGAAAUGCGCAGAUAUCAGGAGGAACACCGGUGGCGAAGGCGGGUCUCUGGGCAGUAACUGACGCUGAGGAACGAAAGCGUGGGUAGCGAACAGG
This 409-nucleotide ribosomal RNA is filed under the name Actinomycetes bacterium. Its description in RNAcentral is "Actinobacteria bacterium partial 16S ribosomal RNA". It matches the Rfam family "Bacterial small subunit ribosomal RNA", at positions 355 to 776 of the family's 1533-position model. Lineage: Bacteria; Bacillati; Actinomycetota; Actinomycetes. The record is from RNAcentral.